AUGGGAACGCGAAGAACCUUACCUACUCUUGACAUCCAGAGAACUUUCCAGAGAUGGAUUGGUGCCUUCGGGAACUCUGAGACAGGUGCUGCAUGGCUGUCGUCAGCUCGUGUUGUGAAUGUUGGGUUAAGUCCCGCAACGAGCGCAACCCGUUAUCCGUUUGUUGCCAGCGGUUAGGCCGGGAACUCAAAGGAGACUGCCAGUGAUAAACUGGAGGAAGGUGGGGAUGACGUCAAGUCAUCAUGGCCCUUACGAGUAGGGCUACACACGUGCUACAAUGGCGCAUACAAAGAGAAGCGACCUCGCGAGAGCAAGCGGACCUCAUAAAGUGCGUCGUAGUCCGGAUUGGAGUCUGCAACUCGACUCCAUGAAGUCGGAAUCGCUAGUAAUCGUAGAUCAGAAUGCUACGGUGAAUACG
This 418-nucleotide ribosomal RNA is filed under the name uncultured bacterium. RNAcentral's name for it is "bacterial SSU rRNA". It matches the Rfam family "Bacterial small subunit ribosomal RNA", at positions 954 to 1370 of the family's 1533-position model. The record is from RNAcentral.